UACGUAGGUGGCAAGCGUUGUCCGGAUUUAUUGGGCGUAAAGAGCGUGUAGGCGGCCAGGUAGGUCUGCUGUGAAAACUCGAGGCUCAACCUCGAGACGUCGGCGGAAACCAUCUGGCUAGAGUCCGGAAGAGGAGAGUGGAAUUCCUGGUGUAGCGGUGGAAUGCGCAGAUAUCAGGAAGAACACCAACGGCGAAGGCAGCUCGCUGGGACGGUACUGACGCUGAGACGCGAAAGCGUGGGGAGCGAACAGG
Molecule: ribosomal RNA, 253 nt
Filed under: uncultured bacterium
Lineage: Bacteria
Description: partial 16S ribosomal RNA
Rfam family: Bacterial small subunit ribosomal RNA
Source: RNAcentral